RNAcentral lists this unclassified non-coding RNA (341 nucleotides) under soil metagenome. Its description in RNAcentral is "partial contains 5.8S ribosomal RNA, internal transcribed spacer 2, and large subunit ribosomal RNA". The stretch from base 1 to 120 matches the Rfam family "5.8S ribosomal RNA", at positions 35 to 154 of the family's 154-position model. The record is from RNAcentral.
GAUGAAGAACGUAGCGAAAUGCGAUAAGUAGUGUGAAUUGCAGAAUUCAGUGAAUCAUCGAAUCUUUGAACGCACAUUGCGCCCUUUGGUAUUCCAAAGGGCAUGCCUGUUCGAGCGUCAUUUGUACCCUCAAGCUUUGCUUGGUGUUGGGCGUCUUGUCUCUAGCUUUGCUGGAGACUCGCCUUAAAGUAAUUGGCAGCCGGCCUACUGGUUUCGGAGCGCAGCACAAGUCGCACUCUCUAUCAGCAAAGGUCUAGCAGCCAUUAAGCCUUUUUUUCAACUUUUGACCUCGGAUCAGGUAGGGAUACCCGCUGAACUUAAGCAUAUCAAUAAGCGGAGGA